RNAcentral lists this ribosomal RNA (467 nucleotides) under uncultured bacterium. RNAcentral's name for it is "partial 16S ribosomal RNA". It matches the Rfam family "Bacterial small subunit ribosomal RNA", at positions 28 to 507 of the family's 1533-position model. The record is from RNAcentral.
GACGAACGCUGGCGGCGUGCUUAACACAUGCAAGUCGAACGGAAAGGCCCUGCGCUUGUGGGGUGCACGAUAGGCGAACGGGGGAGUAUAACGUGUGUAACACGCACCUGUCUUUCGGAUAACAUCAGGAGAAUCGGGCUAAUACCGGGUAGGAGCUCCUGCUGCAUGGUGGGGGUUGGUGAGUUUCGGCGGUUGGGGAUGUACUCGCGGCUUAUGAGCUUGAUGGUGGGGUUGUGGCUUAACAAGGCUUUGACGGGUAGCCGGCCUGGGAGGGUGACCGGCCACAUUGGCCCUGGGGUGCGACCCGUACUGCUUCGGGCGGCAGCGGCGGAAGCUAUUGCGCGAUGCGCGGCGGCAUGAUGCAGCGACGCCGCGUGCGAGAUGACGGCCUUCGGGUUGUAAACCGCUUUCGAGGUGCCGAAGCGUUAGUGACGGUAAUUGGUAAGGAAGCACCGGCUAACUACGUG